UACGUAGGGUGCGAGCGUUGUCCGGAAUUAUUGGGCGUAAAGAGCUCGUAGGCGGCCUGUCGCGUCGGAUGUGAAAGCCCGGGGCUUAACCCCGGGUCUGCAUUCGAUACGGGCAGGCUAGGGUGUGGUAGGGGAGAUCGGAAUUCCUGGUGUAGCGGUGAAAUGCGCAGAUAUCAGGAGGAACACCGGUGGCGAAGGCGGAUCUCUGGGCCAUUACUGACGCUGAGGAGCGAAAGCGUGGGGAGCGAACAGG
RNAcentral lists this ribosomal RNA (253 nucleotides) under uncultured bacterium. Its description in RNAcentral is "partial 16S ribosomal RNA". It matches the Rfam family "Bacterial small subunit ribosomal RNA", at positions 524 to 776 of the family's 1533-position model. The record is from RNAcentral.